UGGGGAAUUUUGGACAAUGGGCGCAAGCCUGAUCCAGCCAUGCCGCGUGCGGGAAGAAGGCCUUCGGGUUGUAAACCGCUUUUGUCAGGGAAGAAAUCUUCUGAGUUAAUACCUCGGGAGGAUGACGGUACCUGAAGAAUAAGCACCGGCUAACUACGUGCCAGCAGCCGCGGUAAUACGUAGGGUGCAAGCGUUAAUCGGAAUUACUGGGCGUAAAGCGUGCGCAGGCGGUUUUGUAAGACAGAGGUGAAAUCCCCGGGCUCAACCUGGGAACUGCCUUUGUGACUGCAAGGCUUGAGUGCGGCGGAGGGGGAUGGAAUUCCGCGUGUAGCAGUGAAAUGCGUAGAUAUGCGGAGGAACACCGAUGGCGAAGGCAAUCCCCUGGGCCUGCACUGACGCUCAUGCACGAAAGCGUGGGGAGCAAACAGGAUUAGAUACCCUGGUAGUCCACGCCCUAAACGAUGUCAACUGGUUGUUGGGAAGGUUCCUUCUCAGUAACGUAGCUAACGCGUGAAGUUGACCGCCUGGGAGUACGGCCGCAAGGUUG
Molecule: ribosomal RNA, 547 nt
Filed under: uncultured bacterium
Lineage: Bacteria
Description: partial 16S ribosomal RNA
Rfam family: Bacterial small subunit ribosomal RNA
Source: RNAcentral